GAUGAACGCUAGCUACAGGCUUAACACAUGCAAGUCGAGGGGUAACGAGAGGAAAGCUUGCUUUCCUUGUCGACGACCGGCGCACGGGUGAGUAACGCGUCUCCAACCUGCCCCCAACUAGGGAAUAACCUUGCGAAAGUAAGACUAAUACCCUAUAAUUUCCUCAGAUGACAUCUGACGAGGAAUAAAGAUUUAUCGGUUGUGGAUGGGGAUGCGUCUGAUUAGCUUGUUGGUGGGGUAACGGGCCACCAAGGCAACGAUCAGUAGGGGUUCUGAGAGGGAGGUCACCCACAUUGGAACUGAGACACGGGCCAAACUCCUACGGGAGGCAGCAGUGAGGAAUAUUGGUCAAUGGGCGGAAGCCUGAACCAGCCAAGUAGCGUGCAGGAUGACGGCCCUAUGGGUUGUAAACUGCUUUUAUACAGGAAUAAAGUUAGCCACGUGUGGUUAUUUGUAGGUACUGUAUGAAUAAGGACCGACUAAUUCCGUGCCAGCAGCCGCCGUAA
RNAcentral lists this ribosomal RNA (506 nucleotides) under uncultured bacterium. Its description in RNAcentral is "partial 16S ribosomal RNA". It matches the Rfam family "Bacterial small subunit ribosomal RNA", at positions 28 to 523 of the family's 1533-position model. The record is from RNAcentral.